UGGGAGGGAGGAGGAGCACUUCGCGCACGCGCCUCUUGUUCUACGGUUAGAUGAACCAUUUCAACAGUCUCGCAGCUCUGCUUUUCGUUGUUUCUAAAAUAAUUGUAUUAUUGAAUUAUUAUUUUAAAAAUGUACAAAAUUAUACUUUAAAAAGUAAUAAUAUUCUUAUUAGUUACUUCGGUGGAGAUUCUUCUAUGUUGCCAAUUAUACUGAUGCUUUCGACUGGAGCUGUCAAAACAUAUAAAAAACUUACGAUGUAAGUCUUCUACGAGCCUCUGUUGUCGCGCGAGUGGGCGUCGUCGUGUGUUGUCACGCACUCGCAACGUAACACCUGCGCAUGCGCCGCUUGCGUGUAGGUCCAAUGCAAGAGACGACUGCGAACCACAUUCUGACUCUGCUGCACUUGCGCUGUAUAAAUAAUUAAACUACAUACAAAGCAAGCAGAAGGGAUAACGAUCUGAUGUUAUGAACGGCUGAUACCUGACUGCCGAAUGUGGUGGUUCAUCUACUGAUAGCGCGUAGCGACGUAGUGGCCGUCGUAGCGCCGUGACGGGUAGC
Molecule: long non-coding RNA, 558 nt
Organism: Vanessa tameamea
Lineage: Eukaryota; Metazoa; Arthropoda; Insecta; Lepidoptera; Nymphalidae
Exons: 3
Source: RefSeq, a predicted model, not a curated record